AAAAAUUUAGUUAAACUUAUAACAUUAGUUUGUCAAACUAAAAUAAUUUCAUUUAUGAAAUAAUUUUUA
Molecule: transfer RNA, 69 nt
Filed under: Drepanocerus kirbyi
Lineage: Eukaryota; Metazoa; Arthropoda; Insecta; Coleoptera; Scarabaeidae
Description: tRNA-Asp
Source: RNAcentral